This 464-nucleotide ribosomal RNA is filed under the name uncultured bacterium. RNAcentral's name for it is "bacterial SSU rRNA". It matches the Rfam family "Bacterial small subunit ribosomal RNA", at positions 336 to 793 of the family's 1533-position model. The record is from RNAcentral.
CUCCUACGGGAGGCAGCAGUGGGGAAUAUUGCACAAUGGGCGCAAGCCUGAUGCAGCCAUGCCGCGUGUAUGAAGAAGGCCUUCGGGUUGUAAAGUACUUUCAGCAGUGAGGAAGGUGGGUAUGUUAAUAGCAUACUCAUUUGACGUUAGCUGCAGAAGAAGCACCGGCUAACUCCGUGCCAGCAGCCGCGGUAAUACGGAGGGUGCGAGCGUUAAUCGGAAUUACUGGGCGUAAAGCGCAUGCAGGUGGUUUGUUAAGUCAGAUGUGAAAGCCCGGGGCUCAACCUCGGAAUUGCAUUUGAAACUGGCAAACUAGAGUACUGUAGAGGGGGUAGAAUUUCAGGUGUAGCGGUGAAAUGCGUAGAGAUCUGAAGGAAUACCGGUGGCGAAGGCGGCCCCCUGGACAGAUACUGACACUCAGAUGCGAAAGCGUGGGGAGCAAACAGGAUUAGAUACCCUGAUAG